RNAcentral lists this ribosomal RNA (446 nucleotides) under uncultured bacterium. RNAcentral's name for it is "SSU rRNA". It matches the Rfam family "Bacterial small subunit ribosomal RNA", at positions 26 to 518 of the family's 1533-position model. The record is from RNAcentral.
AGGAUGAACGCUGGCGGCGUGCCUAAUACAUGCAAGUCGAACGAGGUCUUCGGACCGAGUGGCGAACGGGUGAGUAACACGUUGAUACCUACCCCGAAGUGGGGAAUAACUGCCCGAAAGGGUGGCUAAUACCGCAUAAUACCGCAAGGUUAAAGCAGUAAUGCGCUUCGGGAGGGGCCUGCGUCCCAUUAGCUAGUUGGUAGGGUAAUGGCCUACCAAGGCGACGAUGGGUAGCUGGAUCGAGAGGUUGACCAGCCACACUGGGACUGAGAUACGGCCCCAGACUCCUACGGGAGGCAGCAGUAAGGAAUCUUCCACAAUGGACGAAAGUCUGAUGGAGCAACGCCGCGUGCAGGAUGACGGCCUUCGGUGUAAACUGCUUUUAUAUGGAAGAUUAUGACGGUACCAUAUGAAUAAGGACCGGCUAACUACGUGCCAGCAGCCGC